This 2902-nucleotide ribosomal RNA is filed under the name Shigella flexneri 2747-71. Its description in RNAcentral is "bacterial LSU rRNA". It matches the Rfam family "Bacterial large subunit ribosomal RNA". The record is from RNAcentral. Lineage: Bacteria; Pseudomonadati; Pseudomonadota; Gammaproteobacteria; Enterobacterales; Enterobacteriaceae.
UUAAGCGACUAAGCGUACACGGUGGAUGCCCUGGCAGUCAGAGGCGAUGAAGGACGUGCUAAUCUGCGAUAAGCGUCGGUAAGGUGAUAUGAACCGUUAUAACCGGCGAUUUCCGAAUGGGGAAACCCAGUGUGAUUCGUCACACUAUCAUUAACUGAAUCCAUAGGUUAAUGAGGCGAACCGGGGGAACUGAAACAUCUAAGUACCCCGAGGAAAAGAAAUCAACCGAGAUUCCCCCAGUAGCGGCGAGCGAACGGGGAGCAGCCCAGAGCCUGAAUCAGUGUGUGUGUUAGUGGAAGCGUCUGGAAAGGCGUGCGAUACAGGGUGACAGCCCCGUACACAAAAAUGCACAUACUGUGAGCUCGAUGAGUAGGGCGGGACACGUGGUAUCCUGUCUGAAUAUGGGGGGACCAUCCUCCAAGGCUAAAUACUCCUGACUGACCGAUAGUGAACCAGUACCGUGAGGGAAAGGCGAAAAGAACCCCGGCGAGGGGAGUGAAAAAGAACGUGAAACCGUGUACGUACAAGCAGUGGGAGCACGCUUAGGCGUGUGACUGCGUACCUUUUGUAUAAUGGGUCAGCGACUUAUAUUCUGUAGCAAGGUUAACCGAAUAGGGGAGCCGAAGGGAAACCGAGUCUUAACUGGGCGUUAAGUUGCAGGGUAUAGACCCGAAACCCGGUGAUCUAGCCAUGGGCAGGUUGAAGGUUGGGUAACACUAACUGGAGGACCGAACCGACUAAUGUUGAAAAAUUAGCGGAUGACUUGUGGCUGGGGGUGAAAGGCCAAUCAAACCGGGAGAUAGCUGGUUCUCCCCGAAAGCUAUUUAGGUAGCGCCUCGUGAAUUCAUCUCCGGGGGUAGAGCACUGUUUCGGCAAGGGGGUCAUCCCGACUUACCAACCCGAUGCAAACUGCGAAUACCGGAGAAUGUUAUCACGGGAGACACACGGCGGGUGCUAACGUCCGUCGUGAAGAGGGAAACAACCCAGACCGCCAGCUAAGGUCCCAAAGUCAUGGUUAAGUGGGAAACGAUGUGGGAAGGCCCAGACAGCCAGGAUGUUGGCUUAGAAGCAGCCAUCAUUUAAAGAAAGCGUAAUAGCUCACUGGUCGAGUCGGCCUGCGCGGAAGAUGUAACGGGGCUAAACCAUGCACCGAAGCUGCGGCAGCGACGCUUAUGCGUUGUUGGGUAGGGGAGCGUUCUGUAAGCCUGUGAAGGUGUGCUGUGAGGUAUGCUGGAGGUAUCAGAAGUGCGAAUGCUGACAUAAGUAACGAUAAAGCGGGUGAAAAGCCCGCUCGCCGGAAGACCAAGGGUUCCUGUCCAACGUUAAUCGGGGCAGGGUGAGUCGACCCCUAAGGCGAGGCCGAAAGGCGUAGUCGAUGGGAAACAGGUUAAUAUUCCUGUACUUGGUGUUACUGCGAAGGGGGGACGGAGAAGGCUAUGUUGGCCGGGCGACGGUUGUCCCGGUUUAAGCGUGUAGGCUGGUUUUCCAGGCAAAUCCGGAAGAUCAAGGCCGAGGCGUGAUGACGAGGCACUACGGUGCUGAAGCAACAAAUGCCCUGCUUCCAGGAAAAGCCUCUAAGCAUCAGGUAACAUCAAAUCGUACCCCAAACCGACACAGGUGGUCAGGUAGAGAAUACCAAGGCGCUUGAGAGAACUCGGGUGAAGGAACUAGGCAAAAUGGUGCCGUAACUUCGGGAGAAGGCACGCUGAUACGUAGGUGAAGCGACUUGCUCGUGGAGCUGAAAUCAGUCGAAGAUACCAGCUGGCUGCAACUGUUUAUUAAAAACACAGCACUGUGCAAACACGAAAGUGGACGUAUACGGUGUGACGCCUGCCCGGUGCCGGAAGGUUAAUUGAUGGGGUUAGCGCAAGCGAAGCUCUUGAUCGAAGCCCCGGUAAACGGCGGCCGUAACUAUAACGGUCCUAAGGUAGCGAAAUUCCUUGUCGGGUAAGUUCCGACCUGCACGAAUGGCGUAAUGAUGGCCAGGCUGUCUCCACCCGAGACUCAGUGAAAUUGAACUCGCUGUGAAGAUGCAGUGUACCCGCGGCAAGACGGAAAGACCCCGUGAACCUUUACUAUAGCUUGACACUGAACAUUGAGCCUUGAUGUGUAGGAUAGGUGGGAGGCUUUGAAGUGUGGACGCCAGUCUGCAUGGAGCCGACCUUGAAAUACCACCCUUUAAUGUUUGAUGUUCUAACGUGGACCCGUGAUCCGGGUUGCGGACAGUGUCUGGUGGGUAGUUUGACUGGGGCGGUCUCCUCCUAAAGAGUAACGGAGGAGCACGAAGGUUGGCUAAUCCUGGUCGGACAUCAGGAGGUUAGUGCAAUGGCAUAAGCCAGCUUGACUGCGAGCGUGACGGCGCGAGCAGGUGCGAAAGCAGGUCAUAGUGAUCCGGUGGUUCUGAAUGGAAGGGCCAUCGCUCAACGGAUAAAAGGUACUCCGGGGAUAACAGGCUGAUACCGCCCAAGAGUUCAUAUCGACGGCGGUGUUUGGCACCUCGAUGUCGGCUCAUCACAUCCUGGGGCUGAAGUAGGUCCCAAGGGUAUGGCUGUUCGCCAUUUAAAGUGGUACGCGAGCUGGGUUUAGAACGUCGUGAGACAGUUCGGUCCCUAUCUGCCGUGGGCGCUGGAGAACUGAGGGGGGCUGCUCCUAGUACGAGAGGACCGGAGUGGACGCAUCACUGGUGUUCGGGUUGUCAUGCCAAUGGCACUGCCCGGUAGCUAAAUGCGGAAGAGAUAAGUGCUGAAAGCAUCUAAGCACGAAACUUGCCCCGAGAUGAGUUCUCCCUGACCCUUUAAGGGUCCUGAAGGAACGUUGAAGACGACGACGUUGAUAGGCCGGGUGUGUAAGCGCAGCGAUGCGUUGAGCUAACCGGUACUAAUGAACCGUGAGGCUUAACCUU